GUACCAUACGCGCAUGAACAGUGACCGCGCGUGAACAGUACCCCGCAUGAACAGUGCGAAUUUCUGCUCCAGUUUUAAGCAUUUCAGUCCGAGUUUUUCCCAUUUUUCACCUUCCAAGCUCGGGUUUUGGGCGAUUUUUAGCAAGAAAUCUUGGGAAAUCUUGAGAUUCGACAUUCGUUGGAGAGAAUUCGAAAGGAAAAGGCGUUUUGGGCUAGUUUUCCAGCCGUAUCGAGAUCCAGGGCAGUCUCAGGCACAGUAGAUCUGGCAGAGGGCAGCUAGCAUCAGUAAGGAGCGUUGAGGACUGUAUAAUAUCUUCUUGGAAGCGGUGGUAACUAUAGGCACCGUAUAUUAUAAAUGUGUAAACAGUGGUAACUAUGGGCACCGUAUAUUAUAAUGGAAGCGGUGGUAACUAUUGACACCGCAUAUCAUAAAUGAAAACGGUGGUAACUAUGUACACCGUAUAUUAUCAUGGAAACGGUGGUAACUAUUGACACCAUGUAUUCUAAUGUAAAACAGUGGUAACUAUUGACACUGUACGUUAUGGCGUAUUAUUAUAUGCAUUGCAGGACAUUAUAUGAGAUUACUUUCUGUUGAUUGACAUGUAUAUUUCUGAGAUUUGUACUGUACAGGACUGCUAGAUAGCUUUAUAUUGUGUUUUACCGCGUUUCCUUCUUUCGGGUUUAUAGACUCUCAUUUCUCACUGAGUUGGUAGACUCACCCCAUACUCCCUGCACCUUG
Non-coding RNA from Nicotiana tabacum (common tobacco), 738 nucleotides. Lineage: Eukaryota; Viridiplantae; Streptophyta; Magnoliopsida; Solanales; Solanaceae. The record is from RefSeq and is a predicted model, not a curated record.